UAGAUUUUUAUUAAGGGCUCAUAGUUUUGUUAGGGAUAAAUUAUGGAAAUUGUGUAUAAGCUAGCAAGUACCGAAGCUUAAGAAAUGUGUUAUUUAGUACUUAGUUAAAUUCAGGAGUUCUUAAAAAGAGAUUCGACCUUAGGAGAAAAAUGCAUUCUACUGGCUAAAAUUAAGAAAUUCUGUAAAGAACCUUAACCCACAGUCUUCCCCUGUUAAAAUGAAAGCAAAAAAGGACAAAAAAUUCUUUCAAGACUUAUUAACUUUACUCAAUUCUUUGACUACUUAAAGAACCAUGGGGCUGAAGAAGAAGAUCAAAUUAGGGCUACUAAUUGCUUAAAUUCCCUCCGACAGUGCUAAGUGAAAAGAGUUACUAAAAAUAAAAACAGAUGAUAACAAUAGAGUACAUUUAAUUUUCCGCGAAGGUUCCUCAUGCAAUUUUUUUGGUGCGUACCUGAGCUUGCAUGAGGAUAAACGGGCCCGUCCCACAUUCGACUUCUGUUCAGAACGCAGAUGCUACGCUGGAAACAUGAGCCGCAGAAGCUGAUGCAGCGCGAGAGAAUGGACUUUUGUGUUUAUAGCAAGACUUAUCAUCUACUCGGUGUCUCAUUCAAGUCUACAACUUCCCGGAUCAAAGGUAGCAUUCACAACACGAUAAUUCUUCCAGAUCCGCAAGGCCUUAAGGCAUUGGGUCUUUUCUCUGCCUGAGUGAUCGGGGCCUGCAGACCUUGAUGCCUUUAUUAUAUACAGCCCUUCAGCUGUUUAAUGUGGGGCUUUAAUUGCUGGUGUUCCCCUUAGAAUAGUCGGUUCGGAAUCCAAAACUACCGAAUACCCGAUGCACCCGGACUGCGCAAUGGGAGGGCCGAAGUGUCCAACGCACACAGAGAAAACGGGACAAUAGACGUGUUAAUUAUCGUCAUUACAAUAAAUAUUCAUUUUCCGUAGGUAAUUGAGGUUCUUUAAGUACUUUUUUUUCGAUUACCUACCCUUCCUUCUUGAAUUGGGCUCAAAGGAAUUACCGAGACGAACCUAUUAACAUCUCUGGUCUUAAGGAAGACCCCUGCUCUCCUCACCUUUUCUCUUUUAAAUGAGGCAAAACAAGGCUGCUAAGCGUCAUGAAGGACGCCAAGUUGUUUGUCUGGAAAGAUGCUUAAUAUCUGCAGCUUGAGUCACCAUCGUUUACUGAUGUAAGAGGUCAGUUACAAACCAUGAUAGAAGUUGAGGGAGUUGAAGACACUGGUAUGCGAAGGUCGACGCUUUCUUCGAGUGCUCUUGGCCUUUUGACCCGUUGCAGAAAAACCAACCUAUACAGAUGGUGUCAUUUCCAGGAGAACACACAUUUCAAAUAUUGUAAAAGUUAUGUGGUCG
Long non-coding RNA from Zophobas morio, 1365 nucleotides. RefSeq lists it as uncharacterized. The transcript has 7 exons. The record is from RefSeq and is a predicted model, not a curated record. Lineage: Eukaryota; Metazoa; Arthropoda; Insecta; Coleoptera; Tenebrionidae.